CCUACGGGGCGCAGCAGUGGGGAAUAUUGGACAAUGGGCGAAAGCCUGAUCCAGCCAUGCCGCGUGUGUGAAGAAGGCCUUCGGGUUGUAAAGCACUUUCAGUGGGGAAGAAAGCCUUGGGGCUAAUACCCUCGAGGAAGGACAUCACCCACAGAAGAAGCACCGGCUAACUCCGUGCCAGCAGCCGCGGUAAUACGGAGGGUGCGAGCGUUAAUCGGAAUUACUGGGCGUAAAGCGCGCGUAGGCGGUCUGAUAAGCCGGUUGUGAAAGCCCCGGGCUCAACCUGGGAACGGCAUCCGGAACUGUCAGGCUAGAGUGCAGGAGAGGAAGGUAGAAUUCCCGGUGUAGCGGUGAAAUGCGUAGAGAUCGGGAGGAAUACCAGUGGCGAAGGCGGCCUUCUGGACUGACACUGACGCUGAGGUGCGAAAGCGUGGGUAGCAACAGGAUUAGAUACCCUGGUAGUC
This 464-nucleotide ribosomal RNA is filed under the name Vreelandella stevensii. Its description in RNAcentral is "partial 16S ribosomal RNA". It matches the Rfam family "Bacterial small subunit ribosomal RNA", at positions 338 to 795 of the family's 1533-position model. Lineage: Bacteria; Pseudomonadati; Pseudomonadota; Gammaproteobacteria; Oceanospirillales; Halomonadaceae. The record is from RNAcentral.